Non-coding RNA from Danio rerio (zebrafish), 1179 nucleotides. The record is from RefSeq and is a predicted model, not a curated record. Lineage: Eukaryota; Metazoa; Chordata; Actinopteri; Cypriniformes; Danionidae.
GCACAGUUUUGCUACAACCCCAAUCAAACACAGCUGAUCCAACUAAUCAGUGUGUUCAAGACUACCAGACUAUAUAAUAACAAAUGAGAGAAAUGUAUUGCAUGUCACAUAACUUGGCAUCUGAUCCGAUCCGCCCCUGCUGUUCGGGAUAGCAUGCUGUCAUUGUUUACAUCAAGACGUUCUUGCCAUGUGACUGGACCAGCGUCAUUGAAAUCAGUGUGUAUGGUUCAGAGUUUGAAGUCUAAAACCUUUCACCUCAAAUAUAAGCUUGAGGUAUGCGAACACAAGCUCAGAAACAGACACACCUGCACGACACUCCCCUUCUCCAGCACAGGAAUUCACACUUUUCUCAUGGACAAUUAAAAGUAUCAUCAAGAUGUGGUUCUGAAGUGAUCACAGUGAGCUGCAGAUAUGGAAAACAUGAGACAAAGGGACUCACUUAUAUCCAGCCCACUGGAGCUUCAGUCCAAAACCAGCAGUGCCAUUCGCCGCAGGUUCUCCGGGCCUCUCCUGCUUCCCCCUUUGGCCCGCAGACACUCUGCCCUGGAUGGCAAGAAGUUAAAGGACCUAGAAGCUCUUUACAAAUCAGCCCUGGCCCGCGCAGACAUACAAAAAGAAACAGAGUGAGUCAUCCUGCACACCAUACCAUUCUCUGUUGAAUUGAUUUAGACGGCUGAUAAAAGUGCACAAAGUCCUGUCUGUUGUAGUCUUCAAUAGACUGCUGCUGAUUGAAGCGCCAUGCUCAGAUUGUUCCUAUUUGGAGAGGUUUCCAAAAUGGGCACUGCGUGUGUUACUGACACUCCUGGCGAAAUGCGACCCAGUUCAAUCAGCAACCCAGCAACCACAUAAAGUGCGUUUUCGUUGUCUUCAAAAAGGGACAGAGAUCUUAUCUGACAGGUCAUAAAGAUGAUACCUGGAUGAAUUGUUGUUGUCGUUGUUUUCAGAUUGAGAGUGUUACUUUAAAUACUUUCUUCUCCAUGUAAUGAAUUUUAAUCCCUUGACAGUUAAAAUGACCUGGCAAAGCUUUUGAAAGAAAGGUCAUGGAGAUUUGAGCAGAGGGUGGGAACAACUCCCGGGUGCUUCAGUGGUGUUUACUUCUCUGGUAAAAGGGCACAAUGACUCGGAAUGAGAUCAUAUAAAUGCAGAGGCAGCACUUUAAACCAAUUCAGCCUGCCAUUA